GAUGAAGAACGUAGCGAAAUGCGAUACGUAAUGUGAAUUGCAGAAUUCAGUGAAUCAUCGAAUCUUUGAACGCAUAUUGCGCUCUCUGGUAUUCCGGAGAGCAUGCUUGUUUGAGUAUCAGUAAACACCUCAACUCCCUUUUCUUUUUUGAAAUGGGAGCUGGACUUGAGUGAUCCCAACACUUUUCUCACUGGAAAGUGGCGGGUCACUUGAAAUGCAGGUGCAGCUGGACUUUUCUCUGAGCUAUAAGCAUAUCUAUUUAGUCUGCCUAAAAAACAGAUUAUUACCUUUGCUGCAGCUAACAUAAAGGAGAUGAGUUCUUGUGCUGACUGAUGCAGGAUUCACAGAGACAGCUUUGCGGCUGACUUUGUAAACUCGAUCUCAAAUCAAGUAAGACUACCCGCUGAACUUAAGCAUAUAAUAAGCGGAGGA
RNAcentral lists this unclassified non-coding RNA (432 nucleotides) under soil metagenome. Its description in RNAcentral is "partial contains 5.8S ribosomal RNA, internal transcribed spacer 2, and large subunit ribosomal RNA". The stretch from base 1 to 120 matches the Rfam family "5.8S ribosomal RNA", at positions 35 to 154 of the family's 154-position model. The record is from RNAcentral.